This is a long non-coding RNA of Ananas comosus (pineapple), 1011 nucleotides long. RefSeq lists it as uncharacterized. The transcript has 3 exons. The record is from RefSeq and is a predicted model, not a curated record. Lineage: Eukaryota; Viridiplantae; Streptophyta; Magnoliopsida; Poales; Bromeliaceae.
CGCACACUCUUCGUCCUCUACGUUCUCCUUUUCUCCCAUUAAUUGCUCUAUGCAUGCAUCAAUUGCUUACAAAAGUGUUCUUAGUCCAUGUCCCUGAGUAUAUGAAGCAAAUGAUAGGAGAUGGGAACAUAGAGAGGUCAGAAGAGAUGUUGUGAGCUUGAAUUGAGCCCUAUUUAAUGAGUGCUCGAAUGGGUCUUGCUGUAAUUAGUCGAUUAUUCGGAAAGUUUACGCCUUUAUUUUUUGUAUGUAGUGUUAAUUUAGUGUUAGUUUAAAAUGCUACUUGUAGUUAGUUUAAUUUAGUGCUAGUAAAAUACUACUUGUAGUUAUGCAUAGGGAAAAAAAUGCAAUCUUUUCUUAUUUGUAUUUAGAAAAUUUUGUAAUGUGAAAUGCAUCAGACGUGUUUCUCGCUUUGAUCCAUGAUGGACCUGUAGGAAUACUCCAAGACUCCGCCGUUGUCGUUUGUUCAUGUAUCGCAUUAGAUAGAUAUUGUGUUCAUGGAAUACGAUUCAUGUGAAGGAAGCUUCGGACUCGUAUUGUUCGUGGAUUGAGAUCUCUCGUUGUGCUUCUGUAGCUCGGAUGUAGAGCGGUUGGCUGUUAAGCGGCAAAAGGCAUUCCUCAAGCAGCCAAAGGUUUUCCUUUGGUGACUUUUUCCUGCUUUCUGUUUGCACAUUUUUUUCAUGGUUUUACGUGUUACGUGCGAUCGUGUUUUAGUGACAAGAUGGUUUGUAGCUCGAAGAAAUCUGGAAAGGGAAAGAGACCUGGCAAGGGUGGAAACCACUUCUCGAAGAACAUUGGGCUGGGAUUCAAGACUCCCGGAGAAGUCAUUGAAGAUAUGAUCAGCUUAUUUUACUUUUGAUAUAAAUUUGGGACAUGUAUAGAUAAAAAAUGCCCAUUACUGGCACCAUAUCCAUUAGGGGCUGCAUUUGGAUGGCACAUGCCAUAUUGCCAAAAAUGAGUAGAACUAUUAUCGUUCGCAGAAACUACCUCCACUAUGUGAAGAAAUAUUGAAGG